CCCUUAGAUGAUUUGGGCUGCACGCGCGCUACACUGACCCUAACAAUGAGCAACUGUCUGGCCUGAGAUGGCUGGGUAGCCUUUUCAACCCAUGUCAUGAUUGGGCUAGAUUUUUGUAAGUCUUGAUCUCUAACGAGGAAUCCCUAGUAUGCGUGAAUCAUCAAUCCAUGCAGAUUAUGUCCCUGCCCUUUGUACACACCGCCCGUCGCUCCUACUGAUUGGGUGAUCCGGUGAGCUGUUCGGCCAUAGCAAUGUUUCUUGAUCAGGGCAAUGAAUGUUUCGCAAACCUUGCCACUUAGAGGAAGGAGAAGUCGUAACA
Molecule: ribosomal RNA, 319 nt
Filed under: uncultured eukaryote
Lineage: Eukaryota
Description: partial 18S ribosomal RNA
Rfam family: Eukaryotic small subunit ribosomal RNA
Source: RNAcentral